This 379-nucleotide RNase P RNA is filed under the name bacterium. RNAcentral describes it as "RNase P RNA component class A". It matches the Rfam family "Bacterial RNase P class A". From Rfam's summary of the family: Ribonuclease P (RNase P) is a ubiquitous endoribonuclease, found in archaea, bacteria and eukarya as well as chloroplasts and mitochondria. Its best characterised activity is the generation of mature 5'-ends of tRNAs by cleaving the 5'-leader elements of precursor-tRNAs. The record is from RNAcentral. RNAcentral also lists the same sequence under 1 other name.
CGAGUUCGCCGGGUGACCGCGGGCGUCGGAAUUAUCACCUACGCCUGAGGAAAGUCCGGACUCCACAGGGCAGGGUGCUGGGUAACGCCCAGGCGGGGUGACCCGAUGGAAAGUGCCGCAGAGAACAGACCGCCGAUGGCUCUCAUGUGGAGAGCACAGGCAAGGGUGAAACGGUGGUGUAAGAGACCACCAGCGCUCCGGGCGACCGGCGCGGCUCGGCAAACCCCACCCGGAGCAAGGCUAAGCAGGGGCGAAACGGCCCGUUGAAUCGUCCCGGGUGAGCCGCAGGAGGUCGCCGGAGACGGCGAUCGCAGAUGGAUGGUCACCGGGGGCCGGGGAAUGGCCCCCACAGAAUCCGGCUUACAGGCGGACUCGCUCU